This 613-nucleotide ribosomal RNA is filed under the name Mycobacterium sp. Ri3Pt_4241. RNAcentral's name for it is "bacterial SSU rRNA". It matches the Rfam family "Bacterial small subunit ribosomal RNA", at positions 395 to 1014 of the family's 1533-position model. Lineage: Bacteria; Bacillati; Actinomycetota; Actinomycetes; Mycobacteriales; Mycobacteriaceae. The record is from RNAcentral.
CGCCGCGUGAGGGAUGACGUGUCCUAUCGGGUUGUAAACCUCUUUCAGCACAGACGAAGCGCAAGUGACGGUAUGUGCAGAAGAAGGACCGGCCAACAACGUGCCAGCAGCCGCGGUAAUACGUAGGGUCCGAGCGUUGUCCGGAAUUACUGGGCGUAAAGAGCUCGUAGGUGGUUUGUCGCGUUGUUCGUGAAAACUCACAGCUUAACUGUGGGCGUGCGGGCGAUACGGGCAGACUAGAGUACUGCAGGGGAGACUGGAAUUCCUGGUGUAGCGGUGGAAUGCGCAGAUAUCAGGAGGAACACCGGUGGCGAAGGCGGGUCUCUGGGCAGUAACUGACGCUGAGGAGCGAAAGCGUGGGGAGCGAACAGGAUUAGAUACCCUGGUAGUCCACGCCGUAAACGGUGGGUACUAGGUGUGGGUUUCCUUCCUUGGGAUCCGUGCCGUAGCUAACGCAUUAAGUACCCCGCCUGGGGAGUACGGCCGCAAGGCUAAAACUCAAAGGAAUUGACGGGGGCCCGCACAAGCGGCGGAGCACGUGGAUUAAUUCGAUGCAACGCGAAGAACCUUACCUGGGUUUGACAUGCACAGGACGCUGGUAGAGAUAUCAGUU